ACAUUUACAGUUUUUCUUUGCACAUGUGUCUGUAUUUCUAAGAAUAUUCCUUGGUAAUCAUAUUGGCCCGUCUCCGAAGCUUUUGCAGUUGUCUCCAUUAAAAAACAACAUAUUUUUUCCGUUAGUUUGACAAAAAACUUAACUCUGGUUUAUGGCCACUCUGGUACAUGUUCCGUCCUUUUUACUAAGCUACUUUUCGUGUUGCUACAUUUACUAAUACAACAAUGCAAGUACUUAAAGGUAUAUAAUACUUGAAUGUUUGGUAUAGUUUUGGUUAGCGUCCUCACUUUUUCGGCCGAGUUUUGACUCACUUCCUGUUUGGUACAGUUGGUUAAACUUGGGUUAGCGUUGUUUUGUUCUGUUUUAUUAAUUGUUUACCUAGUUGUGAUUUGAUAUUUUCGAACGUUCUCGGUAGUUUUGGUACAAUUUCGGCACGAAACCUCUGGUUUAUUUUAUUGUGGGUUUGUUUUUGUUUUUUUACUGACGUGCGUUUAUGUGUUUCAAUGGAGCACAAGGCCUGUGGUCGCGGUACUGUUUAAAGUGAUAUGCAAAUAUAGUUAUGUAACAAGCACGUGAUUGGUGGAGCCUUUUACUAGCGGGUGGUGAUUGGCUACUGGUCAUAAUUUGAAUUUUCUACAACUUUCCUCUCUUGUUAAGCGAUAUGUUAAGCUAUUUUGUUCUUAUUUACUGUACAACACUUUUUUGUUUUAAUAUACAUUCUAUCCAGCUCUAAAUGGUCUUAUAACUUAUAAUUUGGUUUUUUGCACAUAUUAUUACGGUGGUUUGCGUAUUAAAUGCACUCUCUGAAUGCACUAUUUUUCUCUCGUAAUCGACGAUCUAGUUGUGCUUGUGUUUGAGAAAACAUGCGAAUGUUUUGGACAAAUCUCAAGGAAAUAGUUCAAGUUAGCGUUCAAUAAAUUGAUUUGUGAAUUCGAGGUUAGCUGUUUUUUUUUUAUUAACGCUUUACUGUUAAGUGUAAAGUAUUCAUUGUUUUGCUAUUACAGUAUUUAGUUUUACACUUUAAGCUUUUUACGGCAGUCGUCGUAUUUUAAUAUACAUUGAAGUCUGUGUAUUUUUGUAGUUUUGCAAAUCUUUACCGGAAAACGGAAGUGGUUGGCGGACAAUCAAAACACCUGGCUUUAAUUUCUUCGUCCAGCACACAUUCCCUGGUGUUAUAACUGUCAAAAAAGAGACGGCACGUUUCAAUGAAGAAGAUGAGGAUGAUGAGGAGAACGACGAAAACCCAGGAUGUGACAUUCACUACGGUAUGAGCAGGUAAGACACAAGUGCACUUUUUGUUUACAUGUCGAUCUGUAGCAAAAAAAACCCAAAACAA
Molecule: long non-coding RNA, 1336 nt
Organism: Cynoglossus semilaevis (tongue sole)
Lineage: Eukaryota; Metazoa; Chordata; Actinopteri; Pleuronectiformes; Cynoglossidae
Exons: 2
Source: RefSeq, a predicted model, not a curated record